GCUCUCCUUAACUUUUCUUAGCGUUCUACAUGGCAUUACCAGGCGAGCUGGUGGCUCAGCUCUCAAUAAAGAGAACCCUGCCCGGCACAGAUUCCUGCCCCUCCAAAAACCCCGAGCCGCCCUCCUCACAGUCCGCUCUCUUACAGAAACACCGCCUUGCCGGCUUUGUUUUUCUGCCGUGCUGAGUGUUGCAGACCUCGUGUUAUCUUCCAGGCAGACUGACAAGGCGGCAGCACGGAGCAAUCGGCUUUCCAAGGAGUGAUUUAUGAGCCGCCAGCUCGGCCGUGAGCGCCUUGCGACUCCCCCGUGUGGCUCGCAGCCGCGGCCGGCCCAGCCCGGCCCUGCCCGGGAACACACAGCCCAUCGCUCCGCAACCAGCGCUGACCCCGAGAGAACAAUGCUGUUCUCCUGUGUUUCUGCUACAGGAAAAACAAAACGAAACUAAAGAUGUCAUAUUUGACGAACUGCGACGCUAUGGGAGGAAUUACGAGGAACUUGGCAUCCUCUUCUCCCAUUCAUCUGAAAUCAACAAAAAGAGAUGCUGAAAUUCUAAAAUGUUUUAAACCCUCCAACACUAGCUGUGAGCAGGAUGCACUAUAACCACCAGACCUUGAUGGCACGAAGAUAUGCAUCGUGAACAUGAAAUCUGGGAAGAAAAGAUAAGGGCACAGCCUUGCCACACUCCCACAGUAGCAAAACACUGUAGUAAGUAACAACUGCAUUUUUGUGGUAUUUGGUCACACCCCUCCUUGCACUGGCAAAACUUUGACUUGGAGCCGAGUAGGUGCAGUUCCAGGAAAGUGAAUGCCCAGUGGAGUUGUGCCCAGCUGCAGUGGAUCUGUACUCGAUGACAAUUGAAAAGAUGAAUGAAAAUCAUUUCGGUUGCAUUAGGGAUGUAAACUGUCAGGGAUUUGGAUUACUGCUUAUUCAACUUUCUGGACGGCAUCUUUACGCUUCCAAGAAAUCCUUUUUAGGCCAGGCAUCAAGAGGAGACAGGAUGAACUCCAAGCAAGAAACUGGAGUUUGCAGACAAGUAGCUCAUGCUCCUGACACUGGAGAAUAAGGGAAUGGAAAGCAAAAGUUGAGAAAACAAAGGAUACUUUGUGGGUGUGCUGUACUGCCAAACCUCAGCGGCCUGGAUACAUUGCUGUUGUUUAUCUAUCUCCAUCGGUGCUUAUGGGUAUGUAUUGAUCCGGAUAACUCAUGUCUGAGGGGUCACUGGGGCAUCUGAUUUUAUUCUUUUCUUUGGGAGGUUUAUUAAUAUUGACACUUCUUCAUUUAAUUGGGGCACUGACUAUGGAAUCCCUUUUUAAUGGAAUCAUAUUAGCUAAUGUACUGCCUGUCCACACUCAAAUUCAGAGUGCUUUACAAAAGCUUAUAUUGGAGUGACUGCUAGUGUUUUAAGCAAAAAAAACAAAAAACAAACCCAAACACCAAAAAUGCAGAUAUCUGAAACCAGAGAGGAAUAGCAAAGAGAGAACUAUGCUGUAAUCUGCAGUCUGCAUUUCUCUGUUGCAACACAGGGAGCCAAAAUAAAAUAAGAGUUACUUUUCCUGUA
Molecule: non-coding RNA, 1558 nt
Organism: Cyanistes caeruleus (blue tit)
Lineage: Eukaryota; Metazoa; Chordata; Aves; Passeriformes; Paridae
Source: RefSeq, a predicted model, not a curated record